RNAcentral lists this long non-coding RNA (418 nucleotides) under Hordeum vulgare. RNAcentral's name for it is "long non-coding RNA (HVUL_LNC001455)". Lineage: Eukaryota; Viridiplantae; Streptophyta; Magnoliopsida; Poales; Poaceae. The record is from RNAcentral.
UAGUUAUCCUCUUCUUACAUUCAACCCACAAUAGUCGAGUUGCCGAUGACGUUCCCUUUUCCAAACAUAUGUAUAGAUAUAAACAAAUUUUAAUUUCCAAGUGGACCAUUCGACCAUGAAGAGUGUUUUUUGACUCACACCCUUUCUAACUAGACUACGGAAGCGCGGUUCGAGACCAUCUUUACUGACAUGUUCCAUUACGGAGAUCGUGUUCCCCUUUUCCAGGCAUAUGGUUUAUGAGUUGGGUUAUCCGACACGCGCAUAACUACAUGAUUUUAUCUUGAAAUGGCGAGAUUUACGAUGCAGUAGUGGGGCUCUUGGUAUCUCAACGGUUCAUAAAAGGUAAAACCGUCACCAUAUCCUCCUUCCACAUUCCACAUCUCGCACCAUCGUUGCCAUUCCUAGUCUCCGAAGCUCC